CAGACAAUAUGUUCAAUAGAUAUAGCUUUGAUAUUACCAACGUGGUCAGGGACGUGAACUCCAUUGAGCUGCGUUUCCAGUCAGCGGUGUUGUAUGCAGCACAGCAGAGCAAAGCUCACACUCGCUACCAGGUUCCCCCAGACUGCCCUCCACUUGUGCAGAAGGGUGAAUGCCAUGUCAACUUUGUUCGGAAGGUAAUGGUCUCUCAAACAGGUCAGGUUUUAUUUUUGAGGACGGGGUGUGCUGGCAUAUGAAAUGCUUAUUUGAAGACUCCCAUGGCAUUUCAGAAGUUAGGAAUCUCUUUCCUGAUCCCUUUAGUGGGGUUUGAAAAUUUGAAAUAAGAACCAAAAGAUUAUUUGAAAUAUUGUGGAGAAUCUUUAUCUUUUUCUAAGUUUUCUUCCUGAAGCGUGUUCAGAACUUAGGUAACAGAAAAAGAAAGGAAAAGAAAAAUAUGUGGCUGAUAAUGGAACUUUACAAAUUAUUUUUUUAACAUUUAAGUUUAUCAAACUUUUCACCAGAUUGUGAAAAUGUAUUAGUGAUUCUUGUUUCUAGGAAGCCCUCUGCAAAUAUUAGUAUAUUUGAUGAUAUGUUCUUGCAUCUUACUGUCAGGUUCUCAUAAAAUCUAACAAAAAGAUAACAAAGUCCACAAAAGUAAUUAUUUUUCUUAGAGUAUGAUUCCAGUCUAAGAGGACUUGGAU
This 698-nucleotide small RNA is filed under the name Pan troglodytes (chimpanzee). RNAcentral describes it as "retained intron". Lineage: Eukaryota; Metazoa; Chordata; Mammalia; Primates; Hominidae. The record is from RNAcentral.